This 470-nucleotide small RNA is filed under the name Pongo abelii (Sumatran orangutan). Its description in RNAcentral is "processed transcript". The record is from RNAcentral. Lineage: Eukaryota; Metazoa; Chordata; Mammalia; Primates; Hominidae.
CUGCUGCAGAUGCUGUUUGAGGAAGCUCUGCCCCUCAGCUGCUCUGAUCCUGUGCUUAGCACUCUUAGCCUGGUGCAGUUCAGCCCCAGUGGAAGGACCCAGGACCUGCUCUCUCCAGGGGUGGAGAACCUGUCGGUGCUGGACGUGGCCCCUCUGGGCUUGGUGGUAGAAGAUGCCACUGAAGUGGAGGUGUCUGACUCAAAAGCUGCCUCAGAACUGUACUUGCAGGCCACCGCAGGGUCUGCUGUCUGCUCACUCUCACAGUGUCCUGCCCAGGGCCUGACCCUCCUGAGGGGCCCGGGACCCAGCGUGUGUGGCAAGGGGCUCUACGGAUCCUCCAGCUCCCAGGAGCCCCGAAGAAGAAAGAAACAAACAAAAAAAGAAACAAAAAGAAUAAAGAAGAAUAUGAAAAAGAAAACAAAGGAAGAAAGGAAGGAAAAAAGAAAAAGAAAGAAUUUUCUAGGUCUUUG